GUAGCUGCGUUCGGAUGAGAUAAGCGCUGAAAGCAUCUAAGUGCGAAACUCACCUCAAGAUGAGGCUUCAUUCAAGGGCCGUCAUAGACGAUGACGUUGAUAGGCCGCAGGUGUAAAGUCGGCAACGGCAAAGCCGAGCGGUACUAAUAACCCGAAACUUUCCGGAC
RNAcentral lists this ribosomal RNA (167 nucleotides) under Prevotella sp. RNAcentral's name for it is "partial 23S ribosomal RNA". It matches the Rfam family "Bacterial large subunit ribosomal RNA", at positions 2745 to 2925 of the family's 2925-position model. The record is from RNAcentral. Lineage: Bacteria; Pseudomonadati; Bacteroidota; Bacteroidia; Bacteroidales; Prevotellaceae.